This 427-nucleotide ribosomal RNA is filed under the name uncultured bacterium. RNAcentral describes it as "partial 16S ribosomal RNA". It matches the Rfam family "Bacterial small subunit ribosomal RNA", at positions 355 to 774 of the family's 1533-position model. The record is from RNAcentral.
UGGGGAAUAUUGGACAAUGGGCGAAAGCCUGAUCCAGCCAUGCCGCGUGUGUGAAGAAGGUCUUCGGAUUGUAAAGCACUUUAAGUUGGGAGGAAGGGCAUUAACCUAAUACGUUAGUGUUUUGACGUUACCGACAGAAUAAGCACCGGCUAACUCUGUGCCAGCAGCCGCGGUAAUACAGAGGGUGCAAGCGUUAAUCGGAAUUACUGGGCGUAAAGCGCGCGUAGGUGGUUUGUUAAGUUGGAUGUGAAAUCCCCGGGCUCAACCUGGGAACUGCAUUCAAAACUGACUGACUAGAGUAUGGUAGAGGGUGGUGGAAUUUCCUGUGUAGCGGUGAAAUGUGUAGAUAUAGGAAGGAACACCAGUGGCGAAGGCGACCACCUGGACUAAUACUGACACUGAGGUGCGAAAGCGUGGGGAGCAAACA